GGGAAAUCAUCUGGGCCACGUCUUCAUGCUUGUUCCAUUUGGUGAUGGUAAGGAGCUUUGCCAAAGCUUGUGGAUAUUGGUCACGGAUAUCAUAUCUCAUCUUCCACACCAGAUCUUUCUCAUGCUCAUAGAGCUCAGUGUGGUUCCUCCGCUCCAGUAUUUCCUUCAGUUGCAGCUUCUCCUCUGGAUCUUCUGGUGCAGAGCGGGGUUGUUCUCC
Molecule: long non-coding RNA, 217 nt
Filed under: Gallus gallus (chicken)
Lineage: Eukaryota; Metazoa; Chordata; Aves; Galliformes; Phasianidae
Source: RNAcentral